The sequence is a transfer RNA, 73 nucleotides long. It matches the Rfam family "tRNA". From Rfam's summary of the family: Transfer RNA (tRNA) molecules are approximately 80 nucleotides in length. Their secondary structure includes four short double-helical elements and three loops (D, anti-codon, and T loops).
GCCCGGUUAGCUCAGUCGGCAGAGCGCAAGGCUCUUAACCUUGUGGUCGUGGGUUCGAGCCCCACAUCGGGUG